RNAcentral lists this ribosomal RNA (117 nucleotides) under Sporolactobacillus sp. THM7-7. The record is from RNAcentral. Lineage: Bacteria; Bacillati; Bacillota; Bacilli; Caryophanales; Sporolactobacillaceae.
UCUGGCGGCCACAGCGAAGAGGUCACACCCGUUCCCAUCCCGAACACGGCCGUUAAGCUCUUCCGCGCCGAUGGUAAUGAGGGGCUACCCCCUUGUGAGAGUAGGUCGCUGCCAGGC